GUUGUGGGUAACGCGGACGUGGAAGAACCUCGUCUGCGGAGGAAAAGGUAGAUGUUAAAUGGUAACUACGCGCGAGGUUCUGAGGAGCCCUGGGAACAGGAAGGAGAAAAGAAUACCAAAAGUGACAACAGUUUGCCAAUCGCAGUCUUUAAUCUGAUAAAGCGGUUAUCUCGUCUUGAGUCCCAGGUGCCGAGUCAAUCCCCAUACACAGCCGCCGCCAUUGCCUCGAGUCCUUGUGUCUGACUGUCUGUUCCUGCUGCUGUAUGACACAGCACCUCGAGGCAAGGAAAUAAGAAAACUGCCUCUGAUCCAAGCAGAGAAGAACUCCUGUAGCCUGUAAUACCAGCUGUGGGUACUACUCUCAGUGUUGGAGAUCAUCAAAAUACAAUUGGACCAGACCCUUUGGAAAUAAUUCUGUGUCUCAAAUGCCCUGUGGAGCACACACUUAAUCAGUUGAUGGCUAUGGAAUUUUCCAACAUCAGCUAAAGAGAAGGGAUAGAGUGGUGACUUCCAAGCUUCAUGCAGAACCGGACAACAGAAAUUGAGAGGGAAAUUUCUAUGACAGAAGAGAGAAAGAAGAAAAUUGCUGGAAUAAUGACCUUGAAUAGAGGAAAUGGGAUAUCAUCUGGGGAAAUUUGGACACAGAGGCAAGCACACAGGGAGAGUGCCAAGUGAAGAUGAAGAAAAAGAUCAGAGUGAUACAAAGAAGUCAAAGAACACCAAAGAUUGCCAACAAACCACCAGAAGCUAGGAGAAAGGCCUGAAACAUAUCCUUCCCGCAUGCCUUCAGAGGGAGCGUGGGCCUGCAGACACUUUGAUCUCAGACUUCUACCCUAUGGAACUGUGCAAAAAUAAAUGUCUGUUGUUUAAGCCAUUCAGUUUGUGUUACAGCACAAAUGUAUUCUAUUUAGAAUACAUCAUUCUAAAUAGAAAUUUUUUAAUAAUUAAGUAUUUUCCUCUCCUUGGAGCACUUGGUAACUUCUAAUUCUACUUUCUAUCUCUAUUAAUUUGCCUAUUCUAGAUAUAUCAAAUGAGUGAAAUAAUACAAUAGUUGUCUUUUUGUGUCUGGCUUCUUUUACUUUGCAUAAUGUUUUCAAGGUUCAUUCAUGUUGUAGCAUGUAUCUGAACUUCAUUCUUUUUCUGGCUGAAAAUUUUAUUAUAUGUAUGUAUUACAUUUUGUGUCUCUAUUCAUCACUUGAUGGAUAUUUGGAUAGAUUUAAGUCAUUUGUCUUUUGUGAAUAGUGCUAUUAAUAUUAUGAACACUUGAGUACAAGUUUUUGUUUAAAUACCUCUUUUCUUUUUUCUUGGAUGUAUUAUCUAGGUGAAGAAUGGCAAGAUCAUAUGGUAAUUCUAUUUAGCUUUUUGAGGAACUGCCAAACCUUUCCACAAUGACUGCACAAUUAUACAUUUCCAGUAGGGUUCCAGUUUAUCCAUAUUCUCACCAAUGCUUUUAUUUUUCUGUUUUUUAAAAUUAUACUGAUCAUAGGAGGUGUAAAGCAGUAUUUCAGUUUGGUUUUGAUUUGCAUUUCCCUAAUGAUUAAUGAUGUUGAGAAUCCUUUCACAUGCUUAUUGACCAUUUUUAUGUCAUUUUGGGAAAAUAUUUAUUCACAUUUUUGCCCAUUUUUUAGUUGGGUUGUCUUUUUUUGCUGUUGAGUUGUAGGAGUUCUUUAUAUUUUCUGGAUAUUAAACCCUCAUCAGAUAAAUUAUUUGCAAAUGUUUUCUUCCAUUCUGUUAAUUUUCUUAAUGUUGUCUUUUGAUGCACAUUGUAAAAAUUUUUAAAAUCAAUUUCCAUUUUCUUAUUUUUUUAUUAUUAUGCUUUAAGUUCUGGGAUACAUGUGCAGAGCGUGCAGGUUUGUUACAUAGGUAUAUACGUGCCAUGGUGGUUUGCUGCACCCAUCAACCCAUCAUCUACAUUAGGCGUUUCUCCUAAUGCUAUCCCUCCCCUUGCCCCGCACCCCCGAGCAGACCCCAGUGUGUGAUGUUCCCCUCCCUGUGUCCAUGUGUUCCCAUUGUUCAACUCCCACUUGAGU
This 2030-nucleotide long non-coding RNA is filed under the name Homo sapiens (human). RNAcentral describes it as "non-protein coding LINC00630:33". The record is from RNAcentral. Lineage: Eukaryota; Metazoa; Chordata; Mammalia; Primates; Hominidae.